AAAGUCUACAAAUCCAUCAUAUCAACCCCUAGAUUAAGAUCCUAAAGAAAAAGUAGAUUUAAAGUCUUGAAAAUGUUCUAUCUUGAAUGCCAUCUCAAAUGAAUUGUCUAUUGUCUUAGACCCUAAUUCAAUCAUACAAGCACUAUUUUAAGGGCUCCAAAUCCAUUUUUAUAGGGUGAAUGGAUUCACAGGGGUUUAUACCAGGUUUUAUAACGGUAUUAGUGUUUCAAUCCAUGGCGAAUUUUGAAAGGGGAGGCUUCUGUAAACCCCCGAACCAUCAUUAGAUGAGUUUAAAGAUACAUUUUCCAUUGAGCCAUCAAGUUUUUUGAUGUUGCUUUUUUGUUUUCCCAGGAGAUCGCAUUUAUUGGUGAGUUAUGUGGUGAAAGGAGAUUUCAAACGAAGUCCAAGGUGGGUUCUUCUCCAAUGAAAUCACAAUAUUUUUCGGCAAAAUUUGAGAUGGGUUGUAUUUCCUUGUGAAAUCACAUGUUGAGUUUGAUAUCUGACAAAAUUUCAAAAAGAUUUUAAUUGUUUUGGCGAUUUUAAUUUUUUUUCUUUUCACGGCAAAGGAUAUUUCCAUCCGUUUUAGAAUUAUUGGCAAGUUCUCAAGCAAUGACUAGACUCCGGGAUUAAGGGUGGCUCAAAAGAACCUGUAUCUGUGUUUUUCUUUACCAUUUCUCAAUCAGGAGGACAGAUUGGUACUUCAUAGAACUCUGGUUUGCUUCACCAUAGAAUGGCGGAAAGACUAUUGCCUUUUUGUAAGACUGCACAUAAAAAAGCAGUGUGGUUUCAUCCAAGAGUGACACUAGAAGAACCAGGCUUACCUGUAGUUGUAUAGGAUGAAGAAGGAGACAAUCACGACAUUAUCUACCCAACACCAGAAUCUGUCUCUGUGGCGAUUGGUAAUCAUCUUGACUUUCGGUCCGAUGAUGAAGUAGAAUUCGCGCCUCCUCCACUCAAUGUAAUGGAACUACGUAUUGGAGAGAUUACUAUGCCGGGGUUGCUGGGUUUUCAGGUUCCAGAUCUUCAGAAUCAAGAGCAUGUUGCAAAUUUUGUGUUCCUCAAUAUUCUAAUAUGGAUCAGGAGUAAAAAGCGACUUUUAAACUUAUGGGUGUUGUUUUUGGUGAUGGUUUGCCAUUGAUGCUUGAUGCCCUUAGAGAGAAAUAUAGAGGAGAACAAAUGAGUUUAACGAUGAUUUACUAAUCUCUAUUGCUAUAGAAGAUAUGAUCAAUGAGACGGUUGUGAAAAGUGAAAAGAAGAAAGCUCCUAUGAGAGGAACUCGUCGAACUCGUCAUUCUGCCCGUAUAGCUGCAAAAUCAAAAGCGCAUAUUGGAGUGGUUAUUUCUGAAAAUCGUGGAUAUACAAUUGUUUUAAGCAUUGAUGAUGACAACCCUAGACCUGCCAAAUUACAGUCCUUCACUAGAGUCGGGGAAUGCUCUAAAGUUCAUGCAGAUGCUUAGUUCGAAUGUGCAUGGCUUGGGAAGCAUACACUGAAAAAAUGGGGUGUCUUUUUUUCCUCAGGACAGAAAGACUGGGUAUCUUAAUGCUACAGGAAACUAAGCUUGGAGAUAAGGUCUAUGCAUUUAUGGGGAAGGGGGUUCUUGCCAUUUUGUGGGUUUAGAUUCAAUAGGAUCUUUUGGGAGUCUUUGGUGUAUUUGGGAUGCAUCUUCUUUUAUUGUUAUUGAUGUUUUCUUAACGGAUAUAGACUUAUUCGUAUUAUUUUGGAAGGACUUUUUUGCACUUUUAGAUGGUUGUUGAUAAAUGUUUAUGGC
RNAcentral lists this long non-coding RNA (1769 nucleotides) under Amborella trichopoda. RNAcentral's name for it is "long non-coding RNA (ATRI_LNC004029)". Lineage: Eukaryota; Viridiplantae; Streptophyta; Magnoliopsida; Amborellales; Amborellaceae. The record is from RNAcentral.